AUCCGGCCUUAGCCACACUCAGCUACCGCCAAGAACAUUCUUUCUGCUCCCAACGCCCGAAGAAAUCAGAAGUGCGCGCGGUUUUACUGAAAUUAAUAUCAGAUUAGCAGAUUAAAAAUGAGGCGAAUAUACAUAGUGAUAAUUAAAUCGGGUCAAGUGAAUUAAAAGGUGUUAGUACGUGUUCCCAAUACGAAAAGCAUGACAUGGAAAGCACGGAACAUACAAUUUAAAAAAGAGUCAAAAAGGUCCCCAGUGGACCUUUUUGUUUCCGGCUUCGGACUUCGUCCGAAGAAUAUUUUCACAGGAGAGAUUCCUCGACCGCCUACUACGCAGCGGACAGAUCACGAUCGGGAGUACCGUGAGUCCCUGCAACCAGAAC
Long non-coding RNA from Topomyia yanbarensis, 379 nucleotides. RefSeq lists it as uncharacterized. The transcript has 4 exons. Lineage: Eukaryota; Metazoa; Arthropoda; Insecta; Diptera; Culicidae. The record is from RefSeq and is a predicted model, not a curated record.